GCUACGGGAGGCAGCAGUGGGGAAUAUUGCACAAUGGGCGAAAGCCGGAUGCAGCAACGCCGCGGGAAGGAAGAAGGGUUUCGGCACGGAAACUUCUAUCAACAGGGACGAAAGAAAUGACGGUACUCGAAUAAGAAGCCUCGGCUAACUACGCGCCAGCAGCCGCGGUAAUACGUAGGGGGCAAGCGUGAGCCGGAAUUACUGGGUUGAAAGGGGGAGUAGGCGGCAUGGGAAGGCAGAUGUGAAAGCCUUGGCCUUAACCCGAGGAUUGCAUUUGAGACUCUCAAGCUAGAGGACAGGAGAGGCACGCGGAAUUCCUGGUGUAGCGGUGAAAUGCGUAGAUAUUAGGAAGAACCCCAGUGGCGAAGGCGGCUUUCUGGACUGAAACUGACGCUGAGGCACGAAAGCGUGGGGAGCGAACAGGAUUAGAUACCCUAGUAGUC
Molecule: ribosomal RNA, 443 nt
Filed under: uncultured bacterium
Lineage: Bacteria
Description: partial 16S ribosomal RNA
Rfam family: Bacterial small subunit ribosomal RNA
Source: RNAcentral